This 1372-nucleotide ribosomal RNA is filed under the name uncultured bacterium. Its description in RNAcentral is "bacterial SSU rRNA". It matches the Rfam family "Bacterial small subunit ribosomal RNA", at positions 28 to 1381 of the family's 1533-position model. The record is from RNAcentral.
GAUGAACGCUGGCGGCGUGCCUAAUACAUGCAAGUCGAGCGAACGGACGAGAAGCUUGCUUCUCUGAUGUUAGCGGCGGACGGGUGAGUAACACGUGGAUAACCUACCUAUAAGACUGGGAUAACUUCGGGAAACCGGAGCUAAUACCGGAUAAUAUUUUGAACCGCAUGGUUCAAAAGUGAAAGACGGUCUUGCUGUCACUUAUAGAUGGAUCCGCGCUGCAUUAGCUAGUUGGUAAGGUAACGGCUUACCAAGGCAACGAUGCAUAGCCGACCUGAGAGGGUGAUCGGCCACACUGGAACAGAGACACGGUCCAGACUCCUACGGGAGGCAGCAGUAGGGAAUCUUCCGCAAUGGGCGAAAGCCUGACGGAGCAACGCCGCGUGAGUGAUGAAGGUCUUCGGAUCGUAAAACUCUGUUAUUAGGGAAGAACAUAUGUGUAAGUAACUGUGCACAUCUUGACGGUACCUAAUCUGAAAGCCACGGCUAACUACGUGCCAGCAGCCGCGGUAAUACGUAGGUGGCAAGCGUUAUCCGGAAUUAUUGGGCGUAAAGCGCGCGUAGGCGGUUUUUUAAGUCUGAUGUGAAAGCCCACGGCUCAACCGUGGAGGGUCAUUGGAAACUGGAAAACUUGAGUGCAGAAGAGGAAAGUGGAAUUCCAUGUGUAGCGGUGAAAUGCGCAGAGAUAUGGAGGAACACCAGUGGCGAAGGCGACUUUCUGGUCUGUAACUGACGCUGAUGUGCGAAAGCGUGGGGAUCAAACAGGAUUAGAUACCCUGGUAGUCCACGCCGUAAACGAUGAGUGCUAAGUGUUAGGGGGUUUCCGCCCCUUAGUGCUGCAGCUAACGCAUUAAGCACUCCGCCUGGGGAGUACGACCGCAAGGUUGAAACUCAAAGGAAUUGACGGGGACCCGCACAAGCGGUGGAGCAUGUGGUUUAAUUCGAAGCAACGCGAAGAACCUUACCAAAUCUUGACAUCCUUUGACAACUCUAGAGAUAGAGCCUUCCCCUUCGGGGGACAAAGUGACAGGUGGUGCAUGGUUGUCGUCAGCUCGUGUCGUGAGAUGUUGGGUUAAGUCCCGCAACGAGCGCAACCCUUAAGCUUAGUUGCCAUCAUUAAGUUGGGCACUCUAAGUUGACUGCCGGUGACAAACCGGAGGAAGGUGGGGAUGACGUCAAAUCAUCAUGCCCCUUAUGAUUUGGGCUACACACGUGCUACAAUGGACAAUACAAAGGGCAGCGAAACCGCGAGGUCAAGCAAAUCCCAUAAAGUUGUUCUCAGUUCGGAUUGUAGUCUGCAACUCGACUACAUGAAGCUGGAAUCGCUAGUAAUCGUAGAUCAGCAUGCUACGGUGAAUACGUUCCCGGGUCU